Paramisgurnus dabryanus is the source of this 372-nucleotide non-coding RNA. The record is from RefSeq and is a predicted model, not a curated record. NCBI's taxonomy places the organism in Eukaryota, Metazoa, Chordata, Actinopteri, Cypriniformes, Cobitidae.
AAUCAGAUGUCAAAUAAUAUUCAAACACGGAGCAAAGCACAGAGACACAGAUCUCAGACCAGCACAAGGAUACAGAUAGAUUUAAAAGGACCCAACAUUUGUGGCAGCAGGUGUUGCCUUUCAUGGGUAGUCAACCCCAAGACCAGACAAUGCACAAAACCAAGAUGUCAUCCUCGAUGCCAUAAUAAAGCAAUUUGUCGUCGAACAAACAUCUGUCAGUGUCGCCCGGGCUUUCACGGCCAUCGAUGUGAACAUUCUAGCAGUUCUUCAGCGCCAAGCUCCUGGUUUGAGGCCCAGCUUGCUCCCACCAUACCUUCAACAGCAGCCACAUCAGCGUUCACUGCAGUUUCUACCAUCACAACCACACCUGAG